RNAcentral lists this long non-coding RNA (212 nucleotides) under Elaeis guineensis (African oil palm). RNAcentral describes it as "long non-coding RNA (EGUI_LNC005254)". The record is from RNAcentral. Lineage: Eukaryota; Viridiplantae; Streptophyta; Magnoliopsida; Arecales; Arecaceae.
GCGUAUGAUUGUUGAUAAUGGCAAAAAUUAGGCAAAUUAACUAAUAAUAUGCCAAACGAUUGUUGCGUUUUAACUCUGCAAUGCCAGUAAACCUAUGCGGUAAUGAUACAAAAUAUCUUUCCUGCAAGCAAACCAGUGUUGUAUUCGUGUACUUAAGAUUCAUGCGAACAGCUUAUUUGUACUAAACUUUGUUCCUUGAACAAGCUUGUUUG